RNAcentral lists this ribosomal RNA (459 nucleotides) under uncultured bacterium. RNAcentral's name for it is "partial 16S ribosomal RNA". It matches the Rfam family "Bacterial small subunit ribosomal RNA", at positions 338 to 795 of the family's 1533-position model. The record is from RNAcentral.
CCUACGGGAGGCUGCAGUGAGGAAUAUUGGUCAAUGGCCGUAAGGCUGAACCAGCCAAGUCGCGUGAAGGAAGAAGGAUCGAUGGUUUGUAAACUUCUUUUAUAGGGGAAUAAAGGUAUCCACGUGUGGAUAUUUGCAUGUACCCUAUGAAUAAGCAUCGGCUAACUCCGUGCCAGCAGCCGCGGUAAUACGGAGGAUGCGAGCGUUAUCCGGAUUUAUUGGGUUUAAAGGGUGCGUAGGUUGUUUUUUAAGUCAGCGGUAAAAUUGAGAGGCUCAACCUCUUCGAGCCGUUGAAACUGGUUUUCUUGAGUGAGUGAGAAGUAUGCGGAAUGCGUGGUGUAGCGGUGAAAUGCAUAGAUAUCACGCAGAACUCCGAUUGCGAAGGCAGCAUACCGGCGCUCAACUGACGCUCAUGCACGAAAGUGUGGGUAUCGAACAGGAUUAGAUACCCCAGUAGUC